RNAcentral lists this ribosomal RNA (497 nucleotides) under uncultured bacterium. RNAcentral's name for it is "partial 16S ribosomal RNA". It matches the Rfam family "Bacterial small subunit ribosomal RNA", at positions 28 to 507 of the family's 1533-position model. The record is from RNAcentral.
GAUGAACGCUGGCGGCGUGCCUAAUACAUGCAAGUCGAGCGAACGGACGAGAAGCUUGCUUCUCUGAUGUUAGCGGCGGACGGGUGAGUAAAACGUGGAUAACCUACCUAUAAGACUGGGAUAACUUCGGGAAACCGGAGCUAAUACCGGAUAAUAUUUUGAACCGCAUGGUUCAAAAGUGAAAGACGGUCUUGCUGUCACUUAUAGAUGGAUCCGCGCUGCAUUAGCUAGUUGGUAAGGUAACGGCUUACCAAGGCAACGAUGCAUAGCCGACCUGAGAGGGUGAUCGGCCACACUGGAACUGAGACACGGUCCAGACUCCUACGGGAGGCAGCAGUAGGGAAUCUUCCGCAAAGGGCGAAAGCCUGACGGAGCAACGCCGCGUGAGUGAUGAAGGUCUUCGGAUCGUAAAGCUCUGUUAUUAGGGAAGAACAUAUGUGUAAGUAACUGUGCACAUCUUGACGGUACCUAAUCAGAAAGCCACGGCUAACUACGUG